This 293-nucleotide ribosomal RNA is filed under the name uncultured Mycoplasmatales bacterium. Its description in RNAcentral is "partial 16S ribosomal RNA". It matches the Rfam family "Bacterial small subunit ribosomal RNA", at positions 31 to 331 of the family's 1533-position model. Lineage: Bacteria; Bacillati; Mycoplasmatota; Mollicutes; Mycoplasmatales. The record is from RNAcentral.
GAACGCUGGCUGUAUGCCUAAUACAUGCAUGUCGAGCGAAGCACUUGUGCUUAGCGGCGAAUGGGUGAGUAACACGUACUUAAUCUGCCUCUUAGACUGGGACAACAGUUGGAAACGACUGCUAAUACCGGAUAUGCUUGGAAACAUAAGUUUCCGUAGUGAAAGAUGCGUUUGCAUCACUAAGAGAUGAGAGUGCGGAACAUUAGCUAGUUGGUAGGGUAAAGGCCUACCAAGGCUAUGAUGUUUAGCGGGGUCGAGAGGCUGAACCGCCACACUGGGACUGAGAUACGGCC